GACGAACGCUGGCGGCGUGCUUAACACAUGCAAGUCGAACGGAAAGGCCCUGCUUUUGUGGGGUGCUCGAGUGGCGAACGGGUGAGUAACACGUGAGUAACCUGCCCUUGACUUUGGGAUAACUUCAGGAAACUGGGGCUCAUACCGGAUAGGAGCUCCUGCUGCAUGGUGGGGGUUGGAAAGUGUCGGCGGUUGGGGAUGGACUCGCGGCUUAUCAGCUUGUUGGUGGGGUAGUGGCUUACCAAGGCUUUGACGGGUAGCCGGCCUGAGAGGGGGACCGGCCACAUUGGGACUGAGAUACGGCCCAGACUCCUACGGGAGGCAGCAGUGGGGAAUAUUGCACAAUGGGCGGAAGCCUGAUGCAGCAACGCCGCGUGCGGGAUGACGGGCUUCGGGUUGUAAACCGCUUUCGCCUGUGACGAAGCGUGAGUGACGGUAAUGGGUAAAGAAGCACCGGCUAACUACGUG
Molecule: ribosomal RNA, 468 nt
Filed under: uncultured bacterium
Lineage: Bacteria
Description: partial 16S ribosomal RNA
Rfam family: Bacterial small subunit ribosomal RNA
Source: RNAcentral